This is an RNA transcript of Aquila chrysaetos chrysaetos, 4672 nucleotides long. It is a transcript of the gene named cell division cycle 14B, with no coding region annotated. Lineage: Eukaryota; Metazoa; Chordata; Aves; Accipitriformes; Accipitridae. The transcript is spliced from 15 exons. The record is from RefSeq and is a predicted model, not a curated record.
CGGUGGGAGGGGGCGGUGUCCGGGGAGACGCGUCAGCCGCCGCCGCCGCCGUCGUCGACGCGGGAUCCCUCCCCUCGGGCGGCCCGAGCCCCGCGGGGAGCGGCGCGGCGCGGCGCGGCGGGGAUGAGGCGGUCCGCCUCGCACCCACCGUAGCGGCGCGGCCGCCUCCGCCAUGAAGCGGAAGAGCUGGGCCGAGGCCCGGCGCCGGGCAGCCCCGGCGCCGCCGGCUCUGAAGAGAACUCGGGGCGCGGCGUCGCGGGCGGCGGGGGGCGAGGCGGAGCGGCGGCAGCCGCCCCCCGCCGCGCCGGAGACCUGCCUGAGGAUCGCCGAUCGCCUUUAUUUUGCAAUUCUCUGCCAAAAACCAAAGAGUGGAGCUGCAAAUACCCAUUAUUUCUGCAUAGAUGAUGAACUUGUAUAUGAGAACUUCUAUGCAGACUUUGGACCACUCAAUCUGGCAAUGGUCUACAGAUACUGCUGCAAGCUAAAUAAGAAAUUAAAGUCAUUUUCAUUGAUAAGGAAGAAAAUAAUUCAUUAUACUGGCUUUGAUCAGAAAAAACAAGCAAAUGCUGCAUUCCUCAUAGGCUCCUACGCAAUAAUAUACCUGAGAGAAUCCCCAGAAGACGUGUACAGGCUUAUAUUGGCUGGAAGCGUUUCAUAUCUUCCUUUCAGGGAUGCUUCCUUUGGUACUUGCAGUUUUCAUCUGACAUUGCUGGACUGUUUUCAUGCAAUAAACAAGGCUUUGCAAUAUGGUUUCCUGGAUUUCAAUAAGUUUGAUGUAAAUGAAUAUGAGCAUUAUGAAAGAGCAGAAAAUGGAGAUUUUAACUGGAUAAUACCAAACAAAUUCAUUGCCUUCAGUGGACCUCAUUCAAGAAGUAAAAUUGAAAAUGGCUAUCCCCACCAUGCUCCAGAGGCUUAUUUCCCAUACUUCAGGAAGCAUAAGGUCACCACUAUAAUACGCCUCAACAAAAAACUGUAUGAUGCCAAACGAUUUACAGAUGCUGGAUUUGAGCAUUUUGACCUCUUCUUUGCUGAUGGAAGCACACCUACUGAUACUAUAGUUAAAACAUUUCUAAAUAUUUGUGAAAACGCUGAAGGUGUUAUAGCUGUUCAUUGCAAAGCUGGUCUUGGACGAACUGGCACACUUAUUGCCUGUUAUAUUAUGAAGCAUUAUCGGAUGACAGCUGCUGAAACUAUUGCCUGGAUUAGAAUAAAUAGACCUGGUUCAGUGAUUGGACCGCAGCAACACUUCCUGAUGGACAAACAGGCAGAACUUUGGACAGAAGGGGAUAUUUUCCGUGCAAAAUUGAAAGGAAACCAUAAAAUUGCUGUAACAAGAAUUUUGUCAGGAGUAGUUGAUAUUUCAAUUAAUGACACAAGAAGCAGGAGAACCAUCCAAAAGGACACUGAACUGUACAGUGAUGAAGACGAAACAAACUGUGUAACACAAGGUGAUAAGCUUCGUGCUCUGAAAAGUAGAAGGCAGGCAAAAGCUCCAACUGCAUCUCCUCUAACAUGGCUCCUAGCUAUGCUGGUGUCUACACUGUGUAGCAUUGUCAUCUGGUGGAUUGUAUGUGGCUCCCUUCUGCCCAGCCUGCUAUUCUGUCUAGAUGGUUUAAGAACAUAGUAACCAUCAGGACCCCCUGAGAGAGAGCCACUGUAGUAAUUCUGCAGUCCAGUGUUCAGAAAAAUAAAACCUCUGAACCUAGCAUUUCUGACAGUACAGACAUUACUAAAAGAACUACCAGGUCUGCUGCAAGAAAAAACACUUAAAGAAGCAGCCAAUCCGUCCCAAGGACUAAAACAGUAUUGCGUUAAGUUUCAAAUAAGCAACCAGUGUUGAAGAGGAUAUUCAGGAAUGAGGGGAUGUGACUAGAGGGGACUUGAUGCAAUUCAAGGAAGAUUACUUUGGCUCCAUUUUUCAGCAAAAGUGAAACUGAAGAAUCUCUUCCGUACUUGUAGAAUAAAAUGAACCGUCAACAUGCUUGGCAGACACUUUCUUAAUGUGCUAACAUUUCCUCAAAGAAAACCAACAAAAUCUGUGUACAUUCAGACUCAGGUGUAAAUACUUAAGCUCUCUAUUAUAAAGAGGGCUUGCUAGUAUGUAUGAUGCAUGUGUAUAAAUUGUGAUGGCAAUCACUUAGCUGCUGACCACCAGAAAUUAAAAGAUGGUGGGAGCUUUUAAAUAUAUAAAUCUGUGUUGUCCGUUCAGACUGGGCUCAAGUCUCCAGUUGAGACUGAAAAUCAACCACAAAAGCUUUUUUGUUCUAGUACUGGUACUCUCCUGUGUUAAUUGGCUAUUCUUUCUUAUUUUGUAUGAAGUUUUUUAUGAAGCCACAGUACUGAGUACACAAAGUAACUAUUGUCCACCAAAGAGUGCUUUAUUUUCAAAGGUUGUGUAGUUUAUUUUGAAAAAACUAACUAUAAGUGAUAUAACUUGUUUUUAAUAGUAAUAGAUUUUUAGUUGUUCACAACCAAUGGCUCUUUUAACCAGUAAUUGCUUCAAAUCUGGUAUGAUUUUAAGGGGGAGCAAAAACAGCUUACCAUUUAAAGCAGUGCUGUCAUAUUGAAAUGUCAUUAGUGUUUAUUUUCCUAUCUUCAAGUCUUUUAGGUGAAACUUUAGAUUACUAUAUCUAAAAGGUAAGAAUUUUUCCCAGGUUUUAUUGGUACACUUGGUAACAUGUGGAUGUCACUGUUUUUUAGCUUUGAGACACUUAAUGAGUGCAGCACACAAAAAAGGGAAAAUAAGCUUGCUGUAUAGCUGAGAUUGGUAGUGGAACUCAGGGGCAGUUAUAGUUUUUAACAUCUAAUUAACACUUUUAAAACUACAGCUUACCUCUGUUAAAAAGCAGUGUUAAGUUUUAGAGGGAUCUGAGACUGAAAUUUUCAUCCACUACAAGAUUGUCUUCAAACACUGGCAGUGUUUUUUCCCUACCACUUUUCACAUUAUGAAAUCUCAAAGCUGGCUUUGCAGUGAUGUACCCUUGUCUGCCAACUGAAGUUUAUAGCUGCAUAUCCCUCAGAUGAGGACUGUUACCACAUAGCCUUAAAUAUGAUACAGUUAUCUGUUGAUUUAGUGACUCUUACAGUAGAAAGUAAAAGAAAUGGAGAGAUCUGAAGUGUUAGCAAUGGAAUAACUGACAUUUUUAAAGAUACAGAUUACCUCUGCAAGGGGGAGAUUUUUCUUUUUGUGAAUAUAAAUGGGCAGGUUCAGUGACUAGUUUCAGUCUAAAUCCUUCUCAAUUAAAAUUAAGCUUUCUGUUAGGCUGGUGAUUUUUGAAUGCCAUUACGAAUAGCCCCACAUUGGCUUGAAAACAUUUUGUGGCAAGAGCAUCACAAGUUGAAGGGGAAGCAGGAUGUGAAGUGUAAGUAAGCUUACAGGUAGCAUCUGUGAGUUUGGAUAGUCAAAAUUUGCAAAUACAGAAAGAAAACCAAAGAGGCUUGUAUGGUGCAAAAUAAAGGACCAUUGAGGCUCAGACCCCAAAUACUUUUUUGUUUUCCUCUUAAUCUUCACCCUCACUACCAUUUUCUUCUAGGUGAAAAGCACCUAAAAGUGAGGGACUGAAUUCAUCCUGAUACAGCAAUUAAAAUUUCUUGACUUUUUUUUGUUUGUUUGUUUCCUUUAACUAAGCCACUUGCCCAAAAGCUGAAGUACAAGUAACCACAAUAGUAGGUAUAUUGUGCAAAUAUGUAUUUGUUUUUAUUUUUGAAGAAAAUUCUUAUCCUGGAAGGCAGAAGGGAUGAAACUAGCGAGGUGAGAGGGCGAGAGUCAAGACAAGAGAGAUUUAGUAAUAGUUAUUGUGUUUGGCUUUGCCCUUCUCUCGGCUGAGCUUCCUCUUUUAGCAUCCUUGUUUUUAAUCUGAAAAUAAUCAGCCUAUUUCACAUCCUUUCCAAAUUCCAAAUGGGAAUUUGGCUUUUUUAAAGUAACCAGCAGAGCCAUUAGCACUUUCAGGUUCAUCAGAAAUAAAUUUGCAUAAAAAAGUGCACACACGCACACACAAUAGCAACUUUAGCUAAACCAAAAUCGCAUGUUUGGCAUGAAUGUGUUUCAGGAUACCCCUUCCACCACCUAGUAUCUUAGUGAGAAACACAUAAAUGUCAAAGGGAUUUUACAUUUGAACUCUCCAAACAGCCUUAUAUGGAAAAUUAACUCAUUACCUCAUUGUGUCCCAUCUAAUUUUAUUGCUUAGUUUGUUCUUCUGAAUUUUUAGUAUUUUGUCUAGCAUUUUUAUUAUACCAUACCAAAGCUGUCUUAAGUACAGGAAUGAAGAGUGGGCAUGGGUGAGGAAGUCCUUGGUUUCUAAAUCUUUUUUGAAUUGUGAAGUAUUAUGUGCCAAAAUGGAAUGUGUGGUGGCAGCUGUAUCACCAUUGUACCACAGAGCAGCCACAGGAAGUUAUUUCUGCUGUCAUCAAUUAGCAGUUUUUUCUUAGAAAUUCUUUCCUCUCUUUCAAAUACAUGACAGAUGGAUUCUCCCUUGGUCUCUUACUCAAAAGUAUGCAACAUACUCAAAAUCUGUAAUAUCUUGGCUUAAAUUGCUAGUUUCCAUUACAGCAUCAAUAACUUAACUCAGAUUUUAACCCAGACCUUGUCUUUUUGCCCCAGUAUGACAAUAUAGAAAAUGCUGCUGAUUUAAAACAAAACAAUAAGAUCUGUAGAGACUCAUGCAUUAAAAUG